Molecule: ribosomal RNA, 468 nt
Filed under: uncultured bacterium
Lineage: Bacteria
Description: partial 16S ribosomal RNA
Rfam family: Bacterial small subunit ribosomal RNA
Source: RNAcentral
GACGAACGCUGGCGGCGUGCUUAACACAUGCAAGUCGAACGGAAAGGCCCUGCUUUUGUUGGGUGCUCGAGUGGCGAACGGGUGAGUAACACGUGAGUAACCUGCCCUUUACUUUGGGAUAACUUCAGGAAACUGGGGCUCAUACCGGAUAGGAGCUCCUGCUGCAUGGUGGGGGUUGGAAAGUUUCGGCGGUUGGGGAUGGACUCGCGGCUUAUCAGCUUGUUGGUGGGGUAGUGGCUUACCAAGGCUUUGACGGGUAGCCGGCCUGAGAGGGUGACCGGCCACAUUGGGACUGAGAUACGGCCCAGACUCCUACGGGAGGCAGCAGUGGGGAAUAUUGCACAAUGGGCGGAAGCCUGAUGCAGCAACGCCGCGUGCGGGAUGACGGCCUUCGGGUUGUAAACCGCUUUCGCCUGUGACGAAGCGUGAGUGACGGUAAUGGGUAAAGAAGCACCGGCUAACUACGUG